Non-coding RNA from Pelobates cultripes (western spadefoot toad), 326 nucleotides. NCBI's taxonomy places the organism in Eukaryota, Metazoa, Chordata, Amphibia, Anura, Pelobatidae. The record is from the annotation of a GenBank genome assembly.
AUUAUAUAUUGUUUUGGUGGUAAUAUUUUGGUGGAGGUAUUUUUCACUGUUAUAGAUAUUAUUUAUUUGUUCUGCUAUACUACAGGACCAUUUAUACACUUAUUAUGUUAUAUUGGAAGUAAUUCUUAUGUUUAUGAUAUUUUCCCUUUAAGAGAGCUGGUCAGUGUAUUGACAAUUUGCAUACAUUCCUUUAAUUUGGGGGAUGCGCAUGCGCGAGCGGCGCGGCGCUCUUUUGAUGCGACUUUCUAUUAGAUGUGGAUCUCGGAGGCUUCCGUAGGAAGGGAACCCCGGUAUGAUUGGCCGAGCAAAAUAAGGUGAAAUGCGCG